This 75-nucleotide transfer RNA is filed under the name Modestobacter caceresii. RNAcentral describes it as "tRNA-Lys". The record is from RNAcentral. Lineage: Bacteria; Bacillati; Actinomycetota; Actinomycetes; Geodermatophilales; Geodermatophilaceae.
GCAUCACUCCGCGGCACGUCGCUGCGCUGACUCUUAAUCAGCGGGUUCGGGGUUCGAGUCCCUGAUGGCGCACCA